CAGUCACUGGGUCCUGCAGGAAUGGAGUUUAAGAACCUGGUAUAGAGGGACUGGCUCCAGAUGCUUUGAUACAGUAAAGGUUUAAAACAAAUCUUCAUGGAGUAGGCCAUUCGAGGAUGCGGUCUGAUGGUGCCCUCUGAUGUCAUCGGCCUCCCCCCUUGCUUGUGAAAACAAUAGAGGAACCCCCCCACUGGUGCCAUGUCAGAGGAUACCUCGACCACCUAUUGAGAUGGACAUAUAGUCUCCCUAACUGACUCCCACAGAGACAGAUAUGUAGAGACUUUGAUGGAAACCUGGAGUGGC
Long non-coding RNA from Oncorhynchus tshawytscha (Chinook salmon), 303 nucleotides. Lineage: Eukaryota; Metazoa; Chordata; Actinopteri; Salmoniformes; Salmonidae. The record is from Ensembl.